UGGGGAAUAUUGCACAAUGGGGGAAACCCUGAUGCAGCGACGCCGCGUGAAGGAAGAAGUAUCUCGGUAUGUAAACUUCUAUCAGCAGGGAAGAUAAUGACGGUACCUGACUAAGAAGCCCCGGCUAACUACGUGCCAGCAGCCGCGGUAAUACGGAGGAUCCGAGCGUUAUCCGGAUUUAUUGGGUUUAAAGGGAGCGUAGAUGGAUGUUUAAGUCAGUUGUGAAAGUUUGCGGCUCAACCGUAAAAUUGCAGUUGAUACUGGAUAUCUUGAGUGCAGUUGAGGCAGGCGGAAUUCGUGGUGUAGCGGUGAAAUGCUUAGAUAUCACGAAGAACUCCGAUUGCGAAGGCAGCCUGCUAAGCUGCAACUGACAUUGAGGCUCGAAAGUGUGGGUAUCAAACAGGAUUAGAUACCCUGGUAGUCCACACGGUAAACGAUGAAUACUCGCUGUUUGCGAUAUACUGCAAGCGGCCAAGCGAAAGCGUUAAGUAUUCCACCUGGGGAGUACGCCGGCAACGGUGAAACUCAAAGGAAUUGACGGGGGCCCGCACAAGCGGAGGAACAUGUGGUUUAAUUCGAUGAUACGCGAGGAACCUUACCCGGGCUUGAAUUGCAACUGAAUGAUGUGGAGACAUGUCAGCCGCAAGGCAGUUGUGAAGGUGCUGCAUGGUUGUCGUCAGCUCGUGCCGUGAGGUGUCGGCUUAAGUGCCAUAACGAGCGCAACCCUUAUCGAUAGUUACCAUCAGGUUAUGCUGGGGACUCUGUCGAGACUGCCGUCGUAAGAUGUGAGGAAGGUGGGGAUGACGUCAAAUCAGCACGGCCCUUACGUCCGGGGCUACACACGUGUUACAAUGGGGGGUACAGAAGGCAGCUACACGGCGACGUGAUGCUAAUCCCUAAAGCCUCUCUCAGUUCGGAUUGGAGUCUGCAACCCGACUUCGUGAAGCUGGAUUCGCUAGUAAUCGCGCAUCAGCCAUGGCGCGGUGAAUACGUUCCC
RNAcentral lists this ribosomal RNA (997 nucleotides) under uncultured bacterium. RNAcentral's name for it is "bacterial SSU rRNA". It matches the Rfam family "Bacterial small subunit ribosomal RNA", at positions 355 to 1375 of the family's 1533-position model. The record is from RNAcentral.